GGCGGCAGGCCUAACACAUGCAAGUCGAACGGUAACAGGAAGCAGCUUGCUGUUUCGCUGACGAGUGGCGGACGGGUGAGUAAUGUCUGGGAAACUGCCUGAUGGAGGGGGAUAACUACUGGAAACGGUAGCUAAUACCGCAUAACGUCGCAAGACCAAAGAGGGGGACCUUCGGGCCUCUUGCCAUCGGAUGUGCCCAGAUGGGAUUAGCUAGUAGGUGGGGUAACGGCUCACCUAGGCGACGAUCCCUAGCUGGUCUGAGAGGAUGACCAGCCACACUGGAACUGAGACACGGUCCAGACUCCUACGGGAGGCAGCAGUGGGGAAUAUUGCACAAUGGGCGCAAGCCUGAUGCAGCCAUGCCGCGUGUAUGAAGAAGGCCUUCGGGUUGUAAAGUACUUUCAGCGGGGAGGAA
Molecule: ribosomal RNA, 415 nt
Filed under: Shigella flexneri
Lineage: Bacteria; Pseudomonadati; Pseudomonadota; Gammaproteobacteria; Enterobacterales; Enterobacteriaceae
Description: bacterial SSU rRNA
Rfam family: Bacterial small subunit ribosomal RNA
Source: RNAcentral